ACUGGGUGUGGUGGCGCAUGCCUGUAAUCCCAGCAGCUAUAGAGGCUGAGGCAGGAGGAUUGAAAGUUCAAAGCCAGUCUCAGCAAAAGCAAGGUGCUAAGCAAUUCAGUGAUACCCUGUCUCUA
RNAcentral lists this small RNA (125 nucleotides) under Marmota monax (woodchuck). Lineage: Eukaryota; Metazoa; Chordata; Mammalia; Rodentia; Sciuridae. The record is from RNAcentral.